RNAcentral lists this non-coding RNA (27 nucleotides) under Rattus norvegicus (Norway rat). Lineage: Eukaryota; Metazoa; Chordata; Mammalia; Rodentia; Muridae. The record is from RNAcentral.
UCAGGUUUCUCCAGCUGCUUGAAUGGU